CGUACGUAGGCGGGCACGCAGGCACUUUGUGAAAUCCCUCGGCUCAACCGAGGAAUUGCUUGGUGAACCGCGUGUCUUGAGGCAAGUAGGGGCUGUCGGAACGAUAGGUGGAGCGGUGAAAUGCGUUGAUAUCUAUCGGAACGUCGAAGGCGAAGGCAGGCAGCUGGGCCUGUUCUGACGCUGAGGUACGAAAGCGUGGGGAGCGAACGGGAUUAGAUACCCCGGUAGUCCACGCUGUAAACGAUGCGCACUAGGUCGAGGGGGUUCUGACGCCAUUCUCGGCCGAAGCAAAAGUGUUAAGUGCACCGCCUGGGGAGUACGGUCGCAAGGCUAAAACUCAAAGGAAUUGACGGGGGCUCACACAAAGCGGUGGAGCAUGUGGCUUAAUUCGAAGCAACGCGAAGAACCUUAUCCUGGGUUUGACAUGCGCGGAUUAGCCUCCCGAAAGGGAGGUUACGCCUUCGGGUGGAACGUGCACAGGUGCUGCAUGGAUGUCGUCAGCUCGUGCCGUGAGGUGUUAGGUUAAGUCCUUUAACGAGCGAAACCCCUGUCGCUAGUUGCCAGCGGGUCAUGCCGGGGACUCUAGCGAGACUGCCGGCGUCAAGUCGGAGGAAGGUGGGGAUGACGUCAAGUCCGCAUGGCCUCUAUGCCCAGGGCUGCACACGUGCUACAAUGGCGGGUACAGAGCGACGCAAUACCGCGAGGUGGAGCAAAUCGCGAAAACCCGCCCCAGUUCAGAUUGCAGGCUGCAAUUCGCCUGCAUGAAG
RNAcentral lists this ribosomal RNA (767 nucleotides) under uncultured Planctomycetota bacterium. Its description in RNAcentral is "bacterial SSU rRNA". It matches the Rfam family "Bacterial small subunit ribosomal RNA", at positions 566 to 1325 of the family's 1533-position model. Lineage: Bacteria; Pseudomonadati; Planctomycetota. The record is from RNAcentral.